AGGACGAACGCUGGCGGCGUGCUUAACACAUGCAAGUCGAACGAGGCCCUACCUUCGGGUAGGUGACCUAGUGGCGAACGGGUGAGUAACACGUGGGCAACCUACCCUCAGCUCUGGGAUAACCCCGGGAAACCGGAGCUAAUACCGGAUAUGACCUUGAACGACAUCGUUCUUGGUGGAAAGUUUUUCGGCUGAGGAUGGGCCCGCGGCCUAUCAGCUUGUUGGCGGGGUAAUGGCCCACCAAGGCGACGACGGGUAGCCGGCCUGAGAGGGCGAUCGGCCACACUGGGACUGAGACACGGCCCAGACUCCUACGGGAGGCAGCAGUGGGGAAUAUUGCGCAAUGGGCGAAAGCCUGACGCAGCGACGCCGCGUGAGGGAUGAAGGCCUUCGGGUUGUAACCUCUUUCAGCAGGGACGAAGCGAAGUGACGGUACCUGCAGAAGAAGCACCGGCCAACUACGCGCCAGCAGCCGC
Molecule: ribosomal RNA, 476 nt
Filed under: uncultured bacterium
Lineage: Bacteria
Description: SSU rRNA
Rfam family: Bacterial small subunit ribosomal RNA
Source: RNAcentral